UCUGCGCAGAGUGGACUCUCUUUUCCGACGAGGAGUGCUUCAGUCUUGGCAGCGACUUGCCGGAGGGAGUUUGAAGGAAUCUGAGGUGUAAAAGCGGCACUCGCUGGGGCUCCCACGGCGUGAGACGCGCUUCGGCCGCUGGGUCACAAACGUGGCCUGGGCACAGAAGGCUGCAGUGUGGAAUGGGGUCGAGGCCAAGUGGGAAGGGCUGUGAUGAUUCCCAACGAGCAGGGGAAGGGAGGAGCGGAUGGGGAGGACGAGGAGGUCGACG
Molecule: long non-coding RNA, 271 nt
Organism: Petromyzon marinus (sea lamprey)
Lineage: Eukaryota; Metazoa; Chordata; Hyperoartia; Petromyzontiformes; Petromyzontidae
Source: RefSeq, a predicted model, not a curated record